CAGGAGAUAGUUUAAUAUAAAAUAUUAAUUUUGGAGAUUAAUGAUGAAGAAUAAAUUCUUUUCUCUUGA
Molecule: transfer RNA, 69 nt
Filed under: Fannia canicularis (little house fly)
Lineage: Eukaryota; Metazoa; Arthropoda; Insecta; Diptera; Fanniidae
Description: tRNA-Pro
Rfam family: tRNA
About the family: Transfer RNA (tRNA) molecules are approximately 80 nucleotides in length. Their secondary structure includes four short double-helical elements and three loops (D, anti-codon, and T loops). Further hydrogen bonds mediate the characteristic L-shaped molecular structure. tRNAs have two regions of fundamental functional importance: the anti-codon, which is responsible for specific mRNA codon recognition, and the 3' end, to which the tRNAs corresponding amino acid is attached (by aminoacyl-tRNA synthetases). tRNAs cope with the degeneracy of the genetic code in two manners: having more than one tRNA (with a specific anti-codon) for a particular amino acid; and 'wobble' base-pairing, i.e. permitting non-standard base-pairing at the 3rd anti-codon position.
Source: RNAcentral